ACUCCUACGGGAGGCAGCAGUAGGGAAUUUUCCGCAAUGGACGAAAGUCUGACGGAGCAAUGCCGCGUGAGUGAUGAAGGUUUUCGAAUCGUAAAGCUCUGUUGUAAGGGAAGAAUAGCAAGAAUAGGAAAUGAUUCUUGUCUGAUGGUACCUUACCAGAAAGCCACGGCUAACUACGUGCCAGCAGGCCGCGGUAAUACGUAGGGUGGCAAGCGUUAUCCGGAAUUAUUUGGGCGUAAAGCGCAUGUAGGCGGCUUUUUAAGUCUGAUGUGAAAAGCCAGUGGCUCAACCACUGAAUUGCAUUGGAUACUGGAAAGCUAGAAUCUUGGAGAGGUAA
Molecule: ribosomal RNA, 337 nt
Filed under: uncultured bacterium
Lineage: Bacteria
Description: bacterial SSU rRNA
Rfam family: Bacterial small subunit ribosomal RNA
Source: RNAcentral